GACGAAUUGUGGGCACUGAUCGCGAGCUUGAUGGAGGACGACUGUCCCACCGAAGAAAGGAUUCCUGCGGCCAGGAUACGGGGCUAUACGCCGAAAUUACCGUGCCCGCCCAAAGCACGGAAUCGUUCCGAAGACACUUCAGGCUACAGAAGUCUUCUUUUGAACGACCAGUAUUGCUGCUAGCGCCCAGCGUCAUGCCCGAAAUAAAAUGGGCAGCGACAGAAGCACCGAAGCAGUUCAUUUGGUGCCUUGCAAAUACGGAAAGUUUCAGCUAAACAACUCUCGCAAAUAGUAACACUGGUCAACAGUUGCAUGUGUACAUCACUGUUUGGAGAUGGUCAGGUAAUAUGAGUAAAAUUAUCAGGAAAAACCCGGAAAAGUCGGGGAAUUGUAAUAGUAAAGUUUGGUAGACACCCUG
This is a long non-coding RNA of Ornithodoros turicata, 418 nucleotides long. RefSeq lists it as uncharacterized. The transcript is spliced from 2 exons. Lineage: Eukaryota; Metazoa; Arthropoda; Arachnida; Ixodida; Argasidae. The record is from RefSeq and is a predicted model, not a curated record.